AUUAGCCCCAUCUUGGCAGAUUAAUAAUUGCAAAAGACUUAGAAUCUUAAUAACUCCUA
This 59-nucleotide transfer RNA is filed under the name Dysdera cf. seclusa MAA-2007. RNAcentral's name for it is "tRNA-Leu". Lineage: Eukaryota; Metazoa; Arthropoda; Arachnida; Araneae; Dysderidae. The record is from RNAcentral.